Oryza sativa Japonica Group (Japanese rice) is the source of this 2088-nucleotide non-coding RNA. Lineage: Eukaryota; Viridiplantae; Streptophyta; Magnoliopsida; Poales; Poaceae. The record is from RefSeq and is a predicted model, not a curated record.
UUUCAAACUAUUGUAGUUAUCGUCUCCCCACUUUUUUCGGUUAGUUUUUUUUUUCUCGCCGGCGACAGUGAGCGCCCUUCUUCUCUCGCCGCCUGUGCAGCGGAGGUCGCCCGCGCCGCCGCAAGUUCCUUCCAGGCGGGGAUAAGCGGCUGCGAGGUAACGUGCUACACAACACCGCCCCAAAACAUUUUCCCCUAUUGGAUGGCGACUUGGGCGCUCCAUCGACUGCUGGAUGGCACCAUGCGGUUGAGGCUGCGACACCCCCCCCCCCCCCCCCCAAAUGGCACCGUCGGCUGCCCCUCUGUCACCGACAUCCAUCCCAUCGCCGGAUCUAGGAGAGCUUCGCCCGAAUCCUCUUUUGAUUCUUGCGUGUCGGUGGUGGGUGGAGAGCAGCGGUACCAACGACAUUUGAAGCACAGAGGGUGGCAGGAUUCGGAGAGGAGGCUGCGGAUCUGGGGUCCGAUGGGUCGUUCUCCCUCCUCCCCUAAAGCGGUGGCGAAGAAUGUCAGUAAAUUGUCGUUGCCGUCGUGCGCGGCAGGUCAGCGCCGGCAAAGAAUACAGGAGGUCCGUGUAGCAGCUGUAGUCAAUUGAAAUCUAUUUCAGGUACAGCUCGUUAGUUCCUAUCAACUAGUAGCGUUAUAUGGUAUCAGUAGUUUUUUUAUCAGCCUGUAUUGGAUUGCACCGUCGUUUUGAUUUUGGAUGAGCUAUGUGCCUGUGUUGGCUGUGGGGAUGCGGUUUUGUUAAGAUUGGGUAGUAACCACUGAUUAAUGCCUGCCGACAGAAGGGCAUGCGUUUCUCAAUUGGCGGCCAACGUGAACCUUUGUUUCACAGGCAACUUCAUUCCUAGCCAACGGGAUGAAGUUAAUAUAUGUCAGGUACCUAACAGAACUAAUCUUUCUGAUGUUUUGACUGAUCUUUGAUUCAUGUCUUUUGUAUCCGUGUAUUGAGUGGACACAUCCAACCUAAACACAUUAGAAGUUGUUUGGUGGAUGGCUUCGCUUGGUGCUAUAAGUGUAUAUGUGAUGAUUCAUGCAUGCAGGGCUGUUCUUAGCUUCUGAAAACAACAGAAGAACUAGGAUGAUCUGUAGAUGUGCACAUGUGGCCUAGAGUCAGCUUAGGUGUCGCAUUCUCUGACAAACGAUUGCUUUGGUAAACCAAGACUGGUGUUUUUUAUUAGUACUAAUUUGGUUUAUUUGAUUAGUUGUAUAUACAAUCAAUUGUUUCCUGUAAAUAAUUUUGACUGAACGUUACAAUUGAAGUUAUUCUAUGUCCUCCAUGGCAUUCAGAUGGUAACUGAAAAUAUAUGAUCGCUGGUAGGACUAUGUGCUUUCAACUCUGUAGCUUGCAGCAGUUCUCUUGGUAAAAACGAGCCAAAAAUUCUCUAAUAAGCUUAAUCCACACGAUCAACAAUUCAUAAGCCUCUUAUCAACGCUUUGCCACUUAUCCCUGAUAUGUACCACCAAAUGCCCAUUUCGAUUUCCCAUGAGCUUGCACUUGCAUUAAUUUUUGGCUUUUCAGCCUGCAAACAUCACCAUGUCCUGUGCAAUGCUCAGUUGCUCAUAGCCUCAUACUAUGAGUCAAUCCACUAAGGCAUGCCUACUCAUAGUGCAUUUAUAUAUGGCAAAUUUUGGUCUUGCAGGAACACAAUGUAACCCGGUGGACUCGAAGAUGAUGAAAUGCAUCAUGCGGUGACAUGGGAAACAUUGUCGCUAGCGCCGGAGCGGCCAUGCUUGAUCCUGGGCUGCCCAUCCUGAUUCCUAAUGCUACCGCCACACAGUCCUGUUCUACGCUGGUUGGUUGGCGAGCCAGCCGCCUCCACUACAACAUUCGUCCAUCAAAGAUGGAUCCCGUGGAGAAGAGGAGGAUCUGCUGAUCUGAAUUUCUUUGAUGAUUUUUGUUGGAGUGUUUAUAUCCUUUGUAAUUUUUUUACUUUUGAGUUUAAGCAUGUAAUUUGUUUAUUGUAUAGUGUGUGUCUGAAUGUAACAGAACCCGUGUGUAAAAGAAAAUAUUGUUAAUAUCUGACCGGCAGUGAUUUAUUUACUCACGGGCUGACAUACUGUUGUAGGGUCAAAACAAGUAAUUUUUUAA